Molecule: unclassified non-coding RNA, 301 nt
Filed under: plant metagenome
Description: partial contains small subunit ribosomal RNA, internal transcribed spacer 1, and 5.8S ribosomal RNA
Source: RNAcentral
UUUCCGUAGGUGAACCUGCGGAAGGAUCAUUAUUGAAUAAACCUGAUGUGACUGUUAGCUGGCUUUUCGAAGCAUGUGCUCGUCCGUCAUCUUUAAUCUCUCCACCUGUGCACAUUUUGUAGUCUUGGAUACCUCUCGAGGCAACUCGGAUUUUAGGAUCGCCGUGCUGCACAAGUCGGCUUUCCUUCCAUUUCCAAGACUAUGUUUUUAUAUACACCAAAGUAUGUUUAAAGAAUGUCAUCAAUAGGAACUUGUUUCCUAUAAAAUUAUACAACUUUCAGCAACGGAUCUCUUGGCUCUC